Molecule: transfer RNA, 66 nt
Filed under: Puniceicoccales bacterium
Lineage: Bacteria; Pseudomonadati; Verrucomicrobiota; Opitutia; Puniceicoccales
Description: tRNA-Ala
Rfam family: tRNA
About the family: Transfer RNA (tRNA) molecules are approximately 80 nucleotides in length.
Source: RNAcentral
GGUAGCUCAGCUAGUAGAACAACGCAUUCGCAAUGCGUGAGUCGUGAGUUCGAAUCUCAUCCGUUA